GAUGAACGCUGGCGGCGUGCCUAAUACAUGCAAGUCGAGCGAACAGAUGAGGAGCUUGCUCCUCUGACGUUAGCGGCGGACGGGUGAGUAACACGUGGAUAACCUACCUAUAAGACUGGGAUAACUUCGGGAAACCGGAGCUAAUACCGGAUAAUAUAUUGAAUCGCAUGGUUCAAUAGUGAAAGACGGUUUUGCUGUCACUUAUAGAUGGAUCCGCGCCGCAUUAGCUAGUUGGUAAGGUAACGGCUUACCAAGGCAACGAUGCGUAGCCGACCUGAGAGGGUGAUCGGCCACACUGGAACUGAGACACGGUCCAGACUCCUACGGGAGGCAGCAGUAGGGAAUCUUCCGCAAUGGGCGAAAGCUUGACGGAGCAACGCCGCGUGAGUGAUGAAGGUCUUCGGAUCGUAAAACUCUGUUAUUAGGGAAGAACAAAUGUGUAAGUAACUAUGCACGUCUUGACGGUACCUAAUCAGAAAGCCACGGCUAACUACGUG
Molecule: ribosomal RNA, 497 nt
Filed under: uncultured bacterium
Lineage: Bacteria
Description: partial 16S ribosomal RNA
Rfam family: Bacterial small subunit ribosomal RNA
Source: RNAcentral